Molecule: ribosomal RNA, 1406 nt
Filed under: marine metagenome
Description: bacterial LSU rRNA
Rfam family: Bacterial large subunit ribosomal RNA
Source: RNAcentral
GUGACCGAUAGUGAACUAGUACCGUGAGGGAAAGGUGAAAAGAACCCCUAUUAGGGGAGUGAAAUAGAACCUGAAACCGCAUGCCUACAAUCAGUCGGAGCUCUAUAUGAGUGACGACGUACCUUUUGUAUAAUGGGUCAGUGACUUUAUCUGUGCAGCAAGCUUAAGCCGAAAAGGUGUAGGCGUAGCGAAAGCGAGUCUGAAUAGGGCGAUGAGUUGUACGGAUAAGAACCCGAAACCUAGUGAUCUAGUUAUGAGCAGGUUGAAGGUAAGGUAACACUUACUGGAGGACCGAACCGGUGCCUGUUGAAAAAGGCUCGGAUGACUUGUGAUUAGGGGUGAAAGGCCAAUCAAACUGGGAGAUAGCUGGUUUUCCGCGAAAACUAUUUAGGUAGUGCGUUGAAUAAUAAGAUCUUGAGGGGUAGAGCACUAAAUAGGCUAGGGGGAAGAAAUUCUUACUAAACCUAAUAAAACUCCGAAUACUCAAGAUUGUUUCUCAAUAGACAGACGGUGGGAGCUAACUUCCAUCGUCGAGAGGGAAAAAACCCAGACCACCAUCUAAGGUCCCAAAAUCGUAGUUAAGUGUGAAAGGAUGUGAAGACUCCAAAACAGCCGGGAGGUUGGCUUAGAAGCAGCCAUCCUUUAAAGAAAGCGUAACAGCUCACCGGUCUAAUUAAGAGACUUUGCGCCGAAGAUGUAACGGGGCUCAAACUACGUACCGAAGUUGUGGAUUUAAAGUGUCUACGGACAUUUUAUCUGGUAGCGGAACGUUCUGUAAGUCUGUGAAGGGAUACCCGCGAGGGGUCCUGGAGAUAUCAGAAGUGCGAAUGCUGACAUAAGUAGCGACAAACAGAGUGAAAGACUCUGUCGCCGAAAAUACAAGGGUUCCUGCGUAAAGUUAAUCUUCGCAGGGUUAGUCGGCCCCUAAGGCGAGGGCGAAAGCCGUAGUCGAUGGGAACAAGGUAAAUAUUCCUUGACCUGAUGGUAGUGACGGAUCUCGUAUAUUGUAAGUUCUUAUUGGAUUGAACUUGCCUUGAAGAGGUCCCAGGAAAUAACUCCAUCAUUAAGACCGUACCCUAAACGGACACACGUGUAUUGGUAGAGAAUACCUAGGCGCUUGAGAGAAUGAUGUUGAAGGAACUCGGCAACUUGCCUCUGUAACUUCGGGAUAAAGAGGGCCUUAUUUUGCGCAAGCAGAGUAAGGUGGCACAAGCCAGGGAGUAGCGACUGUUUAACAAAAACACAGGACUCUGCUAACACGUAAGUGGAUGUAUAGGGUCUGACGCCUGCCCGGUGCCGGAAGGUUAAAGCAAGAUGUGCAAGCAUCGAACUGAAGCCCCGGUGAACGGCGGCCGUAACUAUAACGGUCCUAAGGUAGCGAAAUUCCUUGUCGGGUAAGUUCCGAC